GCUUGUCUCAAAGAUUAAGCCAUGCAUGUGUAAGUAUCAGAAGUCUGAACUUCAAAACUGCGAAUGGCUCAUUAUAUCAGUUAUAGUUUAUUUGGCGAUAAAAACUACUUGGAUAACCGUAGUAAUUCUAGAGCUAAUACAUGCAUCAUCCCCCAUCUCGGGGUGUAUUUAUUAGAUGGAAACCAAUGCGGGGCAACCCGGAAUAUGGUGAAUCAUAAUAACUGUCGUAUCGAGCAAUCGAAGCGCCAUACAAGUUUCUGCCCUAUCAGCUUUGGAUGGUAGGGUAUUGGCCUACCAUGGCUUUAACGGGUAACGGAGAAUUAGGGUUCGAUUCCGGAGAGGGAGCCUGAGAAACGGCUACCACAUCCAAGGAAGGCAGCAGG
RNAcentral lists this ribosomal RNA (383 nucleotides) under Chrysocapsa paludosa. Its description in RNAcentral is "partial small subunit ribosomal RNA". It matches the Rfam family "Eukaryotic small subunit ribosomal RNA", at positions 30 to 432 of the family's 1831-position model. Lineage: Eukaryota; Chrysophyceae; Chromulinales; Chrysocapsaceae. The record is from RNAcentral.